Molecule: ribosomal RNA, 386 nt
Filed under: uncultured bacterium
Lineage: Bacteria
Description: bacterial SSU rRNA
Rfam family: Bacterial small subunit ribosomal RNA
Source: RNAcentral
GAUUGAACGCUGGCGGCAUGCCUUACACAUGCAAGUCGAACGUGAAAGGGGGGCAACCCCCGAGUAGAGUGGCGGACGGGUGAGUAACACAUCGGAACGUACCCAGUAGUGGGGGACAACCUCGAGAAAUCGAGGCUAAUACCGCAUACGACCCACGGGUGAAAGCGGGGGACCGCAAGGCCUCGCGCUAUUGGAGCGGCCGAUGUCCGAUUAGCUUGUUGGCGGGGUAAGAGCCCACCAAGGCGACGAUCGGUAGCUGGUCUGAGAGGAUGAUCAGCCACACUGGGACUGAGACACGGCCCAGACUCCUACGGGAGGCAGCAGUGGGGAAUUUUGGACAAUGGGGGCAACCCUGAUCCAGCCAUGCCGCGUGCGGGAAGAAGGCC